RNAcentral lists this long non-coding RNA (411 nucleotides) under Hordeum vulgare. RNAcentral describes it as "long non-coding RNA (HVUL_LNC015860)". Lineage: Eukaryota; Viridiplantae; Streptophyta; Magnoliopsida; Poales; Poaceae. The record is from RNAcentral.
GGCACCCGCUUAGCCCUAUGUUUUCCGCUAUUAGUGUAUUCGUGUGAUUUGGCCUUAGGCCCUGUCUUGUGAACUUGACCCUUCGGUCACUUGUUGUAAUAAAUUUUACUUGGAUGUAAGACUCUUUAUUCAGUAUCUGUGUUCGGUGAGCAUUGAUCUCUUGGAUCACUGAGCGGGGUGAUUCUCAACUAGUAAGUCGGGGUCCCCACAGGGUCGCGCUCGUGCCUCCUGCUUUAGUGACGGCCCGCGUGGUCUCUGCCGUUGCCCGUAGAUGUGUCGAUGAGCAAUCAACCGGCCUUCAUCAAACCAACGCAAUCAUGAAAGGUGGUCUAGCUGCAAGGUAUAUGUUUGCCCUCGAUAGGUUUUCUAUUUUAGGAUAGAUUGUCGUACUGUCAAGGGGGCUCUCAAGUG